Molecule: long non-coding RNA, 262 nt
Organism: Salvia miltiorrhiza (redroot sage)
Lineage: Eukaryota; Viridiplantae; Streptophyta; Magnoliopsida; Lamiales; Lamiaceae
Exons: 2
Source: RefSeq, a predicted model, not a curated record
AAAUUUCUUGUAGGUUCGAGUGACCAAGGGCAUUGAAGUUUCAAGCCAGCCUAGGAUCGAAUCUCCACUCUGAGGUUGAUCGGUUGGUGCAGACGGAGCUGAGGCUAGGGUUCCACGCUGUCUUUUGCUUCCGCUAAACGACUAGCUUGAUAUCUUGUCUUUCAAUCUCCUAAACUAAGAACUUCUAUUAUAUGGUAAAAUAUUAUCUCGUUGAGCUUAGACUCUUAAUUCGUAUUUCAAUUAAUGAAGCCAUCGUUGAUUA